This is a long non-coding RNA of Anoplopoma fimbria (sablefish), 225 nucleotides long. RefSeq lists it as uncharacterized. The transcript is spliced from 3 exons. The record is from RefSeq and is a predicted model, not a curated record. Lineage: Eukaryota; Metazoa; Chordata; Actinopteri; Perciformes; Anoplopomatidae.
AACAACUGACAGUGAACAGGAGCAACCAGAGAGCAUCGCAACUUCAGUCACUGCAGUCAAGAAAAGUCAAGGCCAGAGAAAAAAUAAAAGCCGUUUACCAUGAUGAUGAUGAAGAUCUGUGUCAUCCUACUUCUGUGUGUUGUUGCAGCAGCAACAACCACAGUUGCCCCUUCAACAACUACAGUAGCGGCAACAACAACAACACCAGCAGCCGCAACAACCACA